GCCUGGAUCGCUUAGUUGGUAAAGCAUCAGCUUUUAAUCUGAGGGUUCAAGUCCCUGUUUAGGUG
RNAcentral lists this transfer RNA (65 nucleotides) under Alligator sinensis (Chinese alligator). It matches the Rfam family "tRNA". From Rfam's summary of the family: Transfer RNA (tRNA) molecules are approximately 80 nucleotides in length. Their secondary structure includes four short double-helical elements and three loops (D, anti-codon, and T loops). Further hydrogen bonds mediate the characteristic L-shaped molecular structure. tRNAs have two regions of fundamental functional importance: the anti-codon, which is responsible for specific mRNA codon recognition, and the 3' end, to which the tRNAs corresponding amino acid is attached (by aminoacyl-tRNA synthetases). tRNAs cope with the degeneracy of the genetic code in two manners: having more than one tRNA (with a specific anti-codon) for a particular amino acid; and 'wobble' base-pairing, i.e. permitting non-standard base-pairing at the 3rd anti-codon position. Lineage: Eukaryota; Metazoa; Chordata; Crocodylia; Alligatoridae. The record is from Rfam by way of RNAcentral.